RNAcentral lists this ribosomal RNA (425 nucleotides) under uncultured bacterium. RNAcentral describes it as "bacterial SSU rRNA". It matches the Rfam family "Bacterial small subunit ribosomal RNA", at positions 354 to 796 of the family's 1533-position model. The record is from RNAcentral.
GUGGGGAAUAUUGGACAAUGGGCGCAAGCCUGAUCCAGCCAUGCCGCGUGAGUGAUGAAGGCCCUAGGGUUGUAAAGCUCUUUCACCGGUGAAGAUAAUGACGGUAACCGGAGAAGAAGCCCCGGCUAACUUCGUGCCAGCAGCCGCGGUAAUACGAAGGGGGCUAGCGUUGUUCGGAAUUACUGGGCGUAAAGCGCACGUAGGCGGAUCGAUCAGUUAGGGGUGAAAUCCCGGGGCUCAACCCCGGAACUGCCUCUAAUACUGUCGAUCUGGAGUUCGAGAGAGGUGAGUGGAAUUCCGGGUGUAGAGGUGAAAUUCGUAGAUAUUCGGAGGAACACCAGUGGCGAAGGCGGCUCACUGGCUCGAUACUGACGCUGAGGUGCGAAAGCGUGGGGAGCAAACAGGAUUAGAAACCCGAGUAGUCC